AGCUAUAUGAAUAUAUAUUUAGUAAUUUCUGCCCAGUGAUUAUUUAACGGCCGCAGUACUUUGACUGUGCUAAGGUAGCAUAAUCAAUUGACUUUUAAUUGAAGUCUGGAAUGAAUGGAAAAUUGGGAAAAUACUGUCUUAAAAAUAAUUUUAUAAAAUUACUAAUAAGGUGAAAAUACCUUAAUAUUGAAAAAAGACGAGAAGACCCUUAGAGUUUUUUUGUUGGGGUGACAGAUAAGCAAACCUUAUUAUAUGAAUGGAAAAACUACCUUAGGGAUAACAGCAUAAUUUUAUUUUAAGAUUGUGACCUCGAUGUUGGACUAGGAAAUUAAUAAUUAGAAAUUAAAAUAAAAUGUUCUGUUCGAACAAUUUCUCCU
This 377-nucleotide ribosomal RNA is filed under the name Discartemon leptoglyphus. Its description in RNAcentral is "partial large subunit ribosomal RNA". It matches the Rfam family "Bacterial large subunit ribosomal RNA", at positions 1832 to 2597 of the family's 2925-position model. Lineage: Eukaryota; Metazoa; Mollusca; Gastropoda; Stylommatophora; Streptaxidae. The record is from RNAcentral.